Molecule: long non-coding RNA, 276 nt
Organism: Lontra canadensis (Northern American river otter)
Lineage: Eukaryota; Metazoa; Chordata; Mammalia; Carnivora; Mustelidae
Exons: 3
Source: RefSeq, a predicted model, not a curated record
GCCUCCAGCAGUGUAUGUGAAUGUGCCUGGAAAGAAAUAAAGAAGAGGAAAGGAUUUCUCUAGAGGAGGAAACUGUGUCUGUUUUGACUUUCUGUUUCCUAGCACUUGAGACAUAAUAAGUGCUGAAAAAAUGCCAUCAGAAAAGCAACAAGAACACUGACGAAAAUGGUCAAAAUUAGAAUGUACAGAACUCUGGAAAUGACAGGAUUGCAGCAUGUGAGGAAUGUCUGUUCCAGAAAGUCAGCUGGAUCACGGAUCCCAUCCAAGAUACCACAU